GCUAUCACUCAUGCCACCCUGAAUACGCCUGAUCCCAUCUGAUCUUGGAAGCUAAGCAGGGUCAGGCCUGCUUAAUACUUGGAUGGUAGACCACCUAGGAAAAUCAGGUACCGUAGGCA
Ribosomal RNA from Pteropus vampyrus (large flying fox), 119 nucleotides. The record is from Ensembl. Lineage: Eukaryota; Metazoa; Chordata; Mammalia; Chiroptera; Pteropodidae.